This 659-nucleotide long non-coding RNA is filed under the name Homo sapiens (human). RNAcentral's name for it is "HSALNT0027821". Lineage: Eukaryota; Metazoa; Chordata; Mammalia; Primates; Hominidae. The record is from RNAcentral.
UGUCUUGAAGGGAUGUCUGAAGACUUCAAGGGCCUCUCAGGGUUCUGGCACGUAGACACCGUGCUGCUGAGGGCAGGAGCUCUGUGGGGUUGAGACUCUUGUUUGCUAGGCAUGAAGAGACAGGGAGAGAAGUGGGAUGGAAAGAAGGCAUUCAGAACUCACAGGCAGCCCCAGCGAGGAGAAGUCAAAGCUCCGUGCCCCUUCCAGCACAAAAGCAAGUCCAUUGAACCGGUGGCUUUUUCUGUCAUCUAGCUCCUAAAAACAAAAACAAAGGUGAAUGAUUCCAAUUGUGACCAAGAACUUCUUUCCCUGCUCCUGGAUGCCAAGCUGCUGGUGAAGUGUGUCUCCACUCCCUUCUAUCCACGUAUUGUUGACCACCUCUUGGCUAGCCUCCAGCAAGGGCGCUGGGAUGCAGAGGAGCUGGGCAGACACCUGCGGGAGGCCGGCCAUGAAGCCGAAGCCGGGUCUCUCCUUCUGGCCGUGAGGGGGACUCACCAGGCCUUCAGAACCUUCAGUACAGCCCUCCGCGCAGCACAGCACUGGGUGUGAGGGCCACCUGUGGCCCUGCUCCUUAGCAGAAAAAGCAUCUGGAGUUGAAUGCUGUUCCCAGAAGCAACAUGUGUAUCUGCCGAUUGUUCUCCAUGGUUCCAACAAAUUGC